CAAAAUGUUUUCUAGGGUUCCGCAUGUACAUGGUCUGGUCCGAGAGAAAACGCGUCGCAAGACGUCACGGAAGGACAAAAGCCUGGGAGAU
This 91-nucleotide small RNA is filed under the name Vagococcus lutrae. RNAcentral's name for it is "Guanidine-I sequence". It matches the Rfam family "Guanidine-I riboswitch aptamer". From Rfam's summary of the family: This family represents a conserved RNA structure found upstream of the ykkC and yxkD genes in Bacillus subtilis and related genes in other bacteria. The function of this family is unclear although it has been suggested that it may function to switch on efflux pumps and detoxification systems in response to harmful environmental molecules. RNAcentral also lists the same sequence under 1 other name. Lineage: Bacteria; Bacillati; Bacillota; Bacilli; Lactobacillales; Enterococcaceae. The record is from RNAcentral.